UCAAAAUUCGCGGCCGAAGAGAAGACCAUUGGCACCGCCGGGGCGCGAUCAUUGAAGGACUAGAUGUCUUGAAGAUGGUCAGCAGGGAAAAGGGGGAGAGAUAUUCAGAGCGAAGGCAGGAAAAUCAUGGUGUUCGCGCUGAGAAGAUUCGAAUCGAGGCUCACUGCCAUGCAUUCCGUGGCUGAACUGCCACCACUCCAUCGCCCUGCUGUUCAACCACGGUUGCCCGGUGAAGCUCCGGCCGCGGCCGGCCCUUCCCCGC
Molecule: long non-coding RNA, 262 nt
Filed under: Eucalyptus grandis
Lineage: Eukaryota; Viridiplantae; Streptophyta; Magnoliopsida; Myrtales; Myrtaceae
Description: long non-coding RNA (EGRA_LNC001716)
Source: RNAcentral